This is an RNA transcript of Numida meleagris (helmeted guineafowl), 2767 nucleotides long. It is a transcript of the gene named coiled-coil domain-containing protein 91-like, with no coding region annotated. The record is from RefSeq and is a predicted model, not a curated record. Lineage: Eukaryota; Metazoa; Chordata; Aves; Galliformes; Numididae. The transcript has 14 exons.
CGAGCACGCGCGCGUAUGCGUGCAAACGGAGCAGGAGGUGGGCCGGAGAGGCUCUGCACCUUUUGUUCAGGGCGUGACUCCUGAGUGAAAGACCUAGGAUUUCUACCAUACUGUAGUACUUCUUGAAAAAUGGAUGAUGAUUAUUUUGGAGGAUUUGAGUUACCAGAGAGCUAUGAGUGUGGAAAUGAUGACAAGCAGUCUACAUCUCCUGCUGUUCCAUGGGCAGCAUUUCCUACAGAGUUUGAAGUCCAUAUAGCUCAGAAUGUUUCUCCUGAUGUUCUUCUGGAACACAGUGUGCCUUCAUCCUGCUUGGCUGCUUCUCAGUCAUUCACUUUAUCAAAUGAUAACGUGGCAACAUCUAUUCAAACAGCCAACAAUGUUAUAAACUCAGCUGUUCUUAAGGAACAGAUUCAAGUAGAUAAUCCAAUUACCUCUUUGAAUUUAACUGGAGAUAAGUCUUUAGUCACAUCAGCCAUUGCUAUGGAUGAUGCUCAGACACAGAGAACAAGUGAAUCAAAGGACUGCCUUCAAAAAACUCUAGCAAAUCUAGAAAUCAAUCUUUGUGCUGCUGAAGAAGAAAAAUUAAAAAUUAAAAAGGAAUUAGAAUAUUUACUGGAAAAACAUAGUGUUCUAGAAAUGAAUUUCCUGAAGGAGAAAAAAGAAAAAGCUCUUUCAUAUCAAGAUCAUUACAAUAUACUCCAGCCGUGCUUCUGGGAGCACGUAUGCACUCAGAGCCUGCAUGGUAUGCCCUCCGCCCCCCCUGCUCCUUUCCUGGUGGACCAGAGUUUGAACCGGCUGCAUUCCUCAGCUCACCCUUUUUUCCAAACUGCUGCUAGGAGAGGGAUCUUGACUGACAGUAAGUUGAACAUGAGUCAUCAGUGUGCCCAGGCAUCCAGGAAGACCAACUGUAUCCUGGGGUGCAUCAAGCGUAUCAUUGCUCGCCAGUCAAGGGAAGUAAUUGUCCUGUUCUACGCUGCACUGGUACGGCCUCACCUUGAGUACUGUGUGCAGUUUUGGACACCACAGUACAAAAAGUUCUCUUCCCCAUCUUACCUGGAGAAGUGUGAGCAAAUGGCUGUGCGGUGUUUACCUGCCUGCAAGGAAAAGCAUAAGCAGGAGUUAGAAGAUAUGAGAAAAGCUGGACACGAAGCCUUGAGUAUUAUUGUUGAAGAGUUCAAGGCAUUGCUACAAUGUACAGUUCAACAGCAAGAAGCAGCUACUGAAAAACAGUAUAAAAUAGCAGUUGAAAAACAUUUUUACAAAUGUCAAGAGCUUCUUGAUGCUCAGAUAUAUUAGAAAAUAUGCAAAGGUGCAUGUUGAGUUCACACGUUAGAAGGAAGAGAUGCCAUCUAGAGGGACUACAGCAAACUCAAAAGAGUCUGUCAAUAGGUUGACAGCAAAAAUUUCCGUGAUCACUGGCAGAAGAGGAAAUGCACAUUUGCAAACCACAGCUUCAGACAUUGUCUACUUGAAGGUUAUGCGUAAUAUAAGGAAUUGUUUAGAUUCCUAAUAACAAAAAAAAAAAAAACCAAAAAACUACAUAGAUGAGUGUGCUUUGAUAAUUUCAGAGUGGUGCAUUUAUUUACAUAUAACGAGUUAAUAUCACUAUCAAUAUCAUUUUAAGAGUCACAGCAUUCAAGGAGAUUCCAUGACUUGAUGUUAACUCUUCUGUGGGAUACAGCGCCAUCAAAAAUUAAGUGGAAAAUGGCAAGUUUCAUUUUGCUGUAUCUGUGCUAACUAUGCAAUAUGUGUUUUCUGGACUCAAGACCAGUUUCGGGAAAAAGCAAUUUGCACUACUUCAGUCUGCUUUGUCUAUUUCCAGUUACGUGUUUCUUUUUGUAUAAUCUAUGUAAUUUAAUAGCUGAAGGUACAUUUCAGUCAAAAAAAACCCCAAAAUCUCAUUGUCCAAGUAAAAAUUUUGAGGCCAAGUCAACAAUUCUUCAAGAUGUUUCUCCAGGUCUAGUACAAGAGAAUUUGCAUUUCUGGGUUGCAUGGACAGCUGUUGCAACAUUUGUGAUGGUAUAUGAACUGCUGGAAAUUGAGAUAUGAAGGUAACUGCUUAUGGAAGAAUUAAUCCACAUGAAUAAAAAUUUACAUUGUAAUAGCAAAGGACAGCCAAGCUAUUCACAAAAGGCUUAUAAUCUCAAAUUAUAAUCUUUGCACUUCCACAAGGUAUGGGGAAGAUUUGUAAUAUAGAGGAAGUUGUAAUGAAAUAUGCCGGAAGUCAUUAGCUUAUAGUAUUCUAAAUGUACUCACCAAUAGUUAAUUUUAACAUCUUGAAAAAUCAUGAAUGUAUAUUUAUACAUAGAUACAAUUCUUUAAAAAUUUCUGUGGAUUCUAUAAAAUUCAAAAAUCUAUACCACGUAGAUUUUCUAAUGGACCUCAGAAAUAUGAGAACCUAAACUAAAUUACAGUGAUCAUACUUGAAAUGACAGUUACAGCAGCUUUCGUAUUUUUUAACCUUACUCAAUAGGCAAUUUGUUUUGUGCUCAUUGGUGAGCCAAAGCAGCAUACCGUAUUUCCCCUUCUGCUUCCAGAAGAAGCAAAAUGAUUUAUAUUAUACUGCUGUCUAUGUCUCCUUUUGCUUGGUACCCUGUCUCUCAAUGGAAAUGAUUGAAUAUGACUGAUAAGUCUAGCUGUUAUUGAACUCCUCAUUGCUGUCAUAAUGGCUGGCUGGUGUAACAUUUUCCUGUUUUGUACAGACAUGCAGUUGUUUAUUCUUCUUUGCAUUUGAAGUUUCUAUAUAAUAAAAAUUAGUUGAUCCCAA